GAGAAAAUAGUUUAAUUGGUUUGAACGUCAGUUUGUCAAGUUGAAGGUUGCGAGUUCAAGUCUCGUUUUUCUCG
Molecule: transfer RNA, 74 nt
Filed under: Chrysochromulina tobinii
Lineage: Eukaryota; Haptophyta; Prymnesiales; Chrysochromulinaceae
Description: tRNA-Asp
Rfam family: tRNA
About the family: Transfer RNA (tRNA) molecules are approximately 80 nucleotides in length. Their secondary structure includes four short double-helical elements and three loops (D, anti-codon, and T loops). Further hydrogen bonds mediate the characteristic L-shaped molecular structure. tRNAs have two regions of fundamental functional importance: the anti-codon, which is responsible for specific mRNA codon recognition, and the 3' end, to which the tRNAs corresponding amino acid is attached (by aminoacyl-tRNA synthetases). tRNAs cope with the degeneracy of the genetic code in two manners: having more than one tRNA (with a specific anti-codon) for a particular amino acid; and 'wobble' base-pairing, i.e. permitting non-standard base-pairing at the 3rd anti-codon position.
Source: RNAcentral